GAGAGGGAAAUCAGGAGCAUGGGAGGUCUAACAACCCAAUUCGUGUAGAAAGAUCUCCCAGACAAGGACAUAAUUCACAGUAUCAAACAGCAGUUGUGCCAAGUAAGCUAAGCUCCAAAAAGGGCCCAUUGGAUUUGACAAAUUGAACGUCAUUUUGGGUUUGGGCAAGAGUAGUUUCAGAGGAAUAGUGAAAGCACAAGCCAGAUUACAGUGGACCGAGAAGUAAACAAGACAUAAGAAAAUGACAUAGUGGGACAAUAAGAUUAGAUUGUCUUAGGGAUUCUGUGUGUGGGACAGACCCACAAGAAGAUGAAGCCUGAAUAGCCUUUGAGGAAGGAUUAGAUAUCUUCUAGGUGGACUGAAGAGAAGGCUUUACAGUGGAGAACACAAACAAAGCACAGAGGCGUUACACAGCUUGGUUUGCUGCAACAACCCAAGAAGUUUAGCGUUGUCAAGGCAUUAAUGUGAAGGGAAUGGGUGAGUAGAACAAGAGAUAUCCUGUGGAACAGAGACAGGAAUCAGAUCAGAAAAGCCUUUCAUGCUAUGCUAAGGAAAAGGAAUUUUAUCCUGAGGCAAUCGGGGGACACUGAAAGACUUUAAUCAUUCUAUUUGUGACUUCACCAGCAGAAUAAGGAAUGAGACAAGGCUGGGGGCAGGGUGAGCAGAGCAGAAACACAGAUUUCAGUAGCAGAGGAGGGACAUGACCACACGAAUCAAUGGGAGAAACAGGAUAGAGUAAGAAUUACCAAGAGUUGGUGACUAAGUCACAUAAAGAACAAAGUUUGGAAGUAGGAAUCAAAGAAAAUACUACUAUUUCUGGUUUAGCUGAUUGAGGAGAGGGGAAUUACCACCAAUAAUGAAAGUGAACAGAUAGGGAGAUUGAGUUUGGAGCAUGAUAAAUCAUUAUUUCAGUUUGGAACAUUUUACAUUUGAGAUUCCUCUUAAUAUUUAAACGGAAAAAUCCAGGAAAGUCUUUGGACCUGGUAUACCUAGUGUAUUGGACAGGUCAUGGAAAUUUAGAGCUUGAGAUAAAAGAUAACUCGAAAUCAGGGUGGAGGUCUGGGAUUUAAUUCACUGCCUUGAGGAGCUUCCCAGAGAAAAAGGAUGGCAAUGCUUAACUACUCUGGACACAGUUGAAGCUAGUUCAAACUCCCUCUACAGGGCUGAAGAAGUGGUUCUAGAAACUGAAUCUUCAAUAGUGGGUUGGGGGAGAUGGAAUGAGAUCAACUGUGGGUUGGAGUAAUUGAAAGACUUGGAAUCAAAUAGUAACUAAUCAGUCCUUAAAAUCUCUCUUGCUCUACUCCCUGUGGCUACUUACAACAAGGGUGUAGGAAUUGGAUUGUGAACCUGAACCCAGAGCCUUUGGGAACUCCAUAGAAACAGAGGACUAAGGGACACCUUGAGGAGAUAGCCAGUAGAGAAGAAGGUCUCAUCAUCACAAUGUAUUGCCAAAGCAGCCUAAGAUUAAUCUACUUGCCAUCACCAAGGCAAAGCAGCCUAUUCCUGGUCCUCUGGAAAUUGCCUCCUUGCCCAAUCUGGAAAUUGCUCUAUGUCUACUCAACAGUUGCUGAAGUUGAGUAGUUCAGCAGUGAAGUUCUAUAACUUCACUUACUCUGAAUUCUCUUAGGUCUGGUCUUUCUUGUUCUUCCUUUGCCUCCUUGUCUUGGUGGAGUACAUCGUCUAAUACAGUGCCAUGCAGACUAGAGAGUCUGCAAGCCAUUUCUGGUGCACAGACUAUCAUCGUUCUGUGAUGAGAGGGAUCCAGAAAUCAAUAGGAAGCAUUCGAAGGCUUUUAUAAUACUUUGAUAGUGCUACUCCAUGCACACAUUUGAUCAAGGGCCAUGUUCACAAUUAGCACAUAGCAAAUUCUAACUUGGAACAAAUCAACCCAGCGAGUAUUUUUUUUAAAACUUUUUAGUACAAGUUGAGUAUUGGUCAUAUAUGGCUAAUGUAGUAAUUAUUUUAAAAUGUGUAAAAAUUAAAGAAAGCUUUUUCAUUGCAGAAAAUAAUUUACCUAGGUUUGCAGUCUAGAGUAUAAACUAUAAAAUAUUACACUUUGUAUCAAUAUGUCUAUCAAUAACAUAACAUCUUUUACUCAAAAAGUCUUAUUUUUUACUCAAAAAGCUAUCAGCUGUAAGGCUAAUGUAUUAUAUUCAGCUUAUUCUAUUAAUUAUGGAACAAUAAGGAAAGUAAUUGCAAACAGCUUUUUUGUAUGCUGAAGUAAAAUGGUUAUCAAGGGGAAAAACUCACUCUAGACUAAAUUGAAAUAGGGAAUCAACUCUGGUGCUCCUGAAAAAUAAGAAAUUUGUUGGGUCCCCCAAAUUUAAAGACAAAAAUUGAACACAAAUUUUACAAAUUUGCUUAUGUGUUUAAUAUCACUGAUAUUUCUAAUUAUCUGACUACUAUGUGAAGAAGGAAUGCAACAUACUUUUCAGUGGUAAAUCAAAUUGAAAGGCAAUGGAAAAAUUUACAAGUUAGAGAAUUUUUGCAGGCUGUUAUGAUAUAUACUUCAUAAUUUAACACAAUUUUCCAUAAAGUAGAAGGUAAUCUUGAUAUUAUACGUCUGAAAAAGUUAAAACUGAACACCUCACAAAUUUGAUAGAACAUUUUAAUCUCUAUUUUAUAUCACAAAAAAGGCAACAGGACAUUCAUGAGCUAGAACCUUGUUAUUUCAUUGGAAACAAAACGUUUAUAUUUUAAGGCAUAGAUUGUUGCAACUUUCUAUUGGUGAAAGAUUGAAAAUGAUUGUUGAAAUUGUAGCAUCAUUUGCUUCAUUUUAAAUAAAAGGUAAAACUGAAUAUCCUGAGCAUGCUGA
This 2815-nucleotide long non-coding RNA is filed under the name Homo sapiens (human). Its description in RNAcentral is "HSALNT0048114". Lineage: Eukaryota; Metazoa; Chordata; Mammalia; Primates; Hominidae. The record is from RNAcentral.